Molecule: ribosomal RNA, 259 nt
Filed under: uncultured soil bacterium
Lineage: Bacteria
Description: partial 16S ribosomal RNA
Rfam family: Bacterial small subunit ribosomal RNA
Source: RNAcentral
AGGACGGACGCUGGCGGCGUGCUUAACACAUGCAAGUCGAACGGUAAGGCCCCUUCGGGGGGUACACGAGUGGCGAACGGGUGAGUAACACGUGAGUAACCUACCCUUGACUCUGGGAUAACAUCUGGAAACAGGUGCUAAUACCGGAUAUUCAACCCUUGACUCAUGUUUUGGGUGGAAAGCUCCGGCGGUCAUGGAUGGACUCGCGGCCUAUCAGCUUUGUUGGUGAGGGUAAUGGCUCACCAAGGCUUCGACGGGU